This 395-nucleotide ribosomal RNA is filed under the name uncultured bacterium. RNAcentral's name for it is "bacterial SSU rRNA". It matches the Rfam family "Bacterial small subunit ribosomal RNA", at positions 292 to 675 of the family's 1533-position model. The record is from RNAcentral.
CUGAGAGGAUGAUCCGCCACACUGGGACUGAGACACGGCCCAGACUCCCUACGGGAGGCAGCAGUGGGGAAUAUUGGACAAUGGGCGAAAGCCUGAUCCAGCCAUGCCGCGUGUGUGAAGAAGGCCUUUUGGUUGUAAAGCACUUUAAGCGAGGAGGAGGCUACUUAGAUUAAUACUCUAGGAUAGUGGACGUUACUCGCAGAAUAAGCACCGGCUAACUCUGUGCCAGCAGCCGCGGUAAUACAGAGGGUGCGAGCGUUAAUCGGAUUUACUGGGCGUAAAGCGUGCGUACGCGGCUUUUUAAGUCGGAUGUGAAAUCCCUGAGCUUAACUUAGGAAUUGCAUUCGAUACCGGGAAGCUAGAGUAUGGGAGAGGGAUGGGUAAAAUUCCAGGUG